Ornithorhynchus anatinus (platypus) is the source of this 73-nucleotide non-coding RNA. Lineage: Eukaryota; Metazoa; Chordata; Mammalia; Monotremata; Ornithorhynchidae. The record is from the annotation of a RefSeq genome assembly.
GCCUGGAUAGCUCAGCCGGUAGAGCAUCAGAUUUUUAAUCUGAAGCUUCAGGGCUCAAAUCCCUGUUCAGGCA